AAUCUUCUACAUUGGACGUAAGUCUGAUGGAGCACCGCCGCUUAAUUGAAGAAGGUUUUCUGAUCUCAAAGCUCUGUUGUUAGGGAAGAACAAGUACAGGAGUCCCUGUCUGUACCUUGAUUGUACCUUUCCAGAAUGCCAAGGUUAAUUACUUGCAAGCAGCCGCUGUAAUACGUAGGUGGCAAGCGUUGUCCGGAAUUAUGGGGUGUAAAACGCGAGCAGGCGAUCCUUUAAGACUGAUGUGAAAGCCCACGGCUCAACCGUGGAGGGUCAUUGGAAACUGGAGGACUUGAGUACAGAAGAGGAAAGCGGAAUACAACGUGUAGCGGUGAAAUGCGUAGAGAUGUGGAGGAACACCAGUGGCGAAGGCGGCUUUCUGGUCUGUAACUGACGCUGAGGCGCGAAAGCGUGGGGAGCAAAAA
RNAcentral lists this ribosomal RNA (422 nucleotides) under uncultured bacterium. RNAcentral describes it as "partial 16S ribosomal RNA". It matches the Rfam family "Bacterial small subunit ribosomal RNA", at positions 360 to 774 of the family's 1533-position model. The record is from RNAcentral.